AAUUCAGCUCCACGAUAACACCGUCCCAUUCAACUGAUUGAUCGGCGCCCCGCUACCAUCUUCUGGUCUUGCAGAUAUGCUGGAGUGUUGUGAUACGAGGAUGGACGUUCACAUGGAGUAAGUCAGUCACUGUACUGGACAGAUGCAAACAAAAUGUUGAACUUGGCCUUUCUGGUCUUCACCUCUCUUGGGACUGCUCAGGUAAGUGCAGGGCCAAUGAUCAGAACAGCCACUCCUUCAAAAUGCACUUAUGGUGCCCCUUGCCACUGGUCAACGAUCUUACAAAAGUCAACUUCCUCCUGGACAUGAAACAGCUUUAACUGAAGUGGUGAAAACGGCCUCCUUCCUUAGGUUUAAGAAGAGAGCACAUAGAGGUGGAAGGUUUUUUCCUGGAGAGGCAAUUUAGCUUAUGGAUUAAGUACACAGACUCUAAUUUGGACAAUUCAGGUUUGGUUCCUGGUUGUAUCACUAAUACACUUUGUGAUCUUCAGCACAGACUAAUGCAGGCAGAGGUUAUAAUCUCUUGUGUGCCUUUGUUUCUUGUCGGCACAGUAGGAAUGAUAACAAUAGUAUCUACUUCAUAGAGUGGAUAUAAUGAUUUAAAGAGUUAAUAUUUGUUAUUUGCUAAUAACAACGCCUGGUGUAUACUAAGU
Molecule: long non-coding RNA, 653 nt
Filed under: Homo sapiens (human)
Lineage: Eukaryota; Metazoa; Chordata; Mammalia; Primates; Hominidae
Description: HSALNT0093359
Source: RNAcentral